RNAcentral lists this ribosomal RNA (92 nucleotides) under uncultured bacterium. Its description in RNAcentral is "partial 16S ribosomal RNA". It matches the Rfam family "Bacterial small subunit ribosomal RNA", at positions 400 to 508 of the family's 1533-position model. The record is from RNAcentral.
CGUGAGCGAUGAAGCCCUUCGGGGUGUAAAGCUCUUUCCGGCAGGGACGAUAAUGACGGUACCUGAAGAAGAAGCUGCGGCUAACUACGUGC